GACGAACGCUGGCGGCGUGCCUAAUACAUGCCAGUCGAACGCUUCUUUCCUCCCGAGUGCUUGCACUCAAUUGGAAAGAGGGGUGGCGGACGGGUGAGUAACACGUGGGUAACCUACCCAUCAGAGGGGGAUAACACUUGGAAACAGGUGCUAAUACCGCAUAACAGUUUAUGCCGCAUGGCAUAAGAGUGAAAGGCGCUUUCGGGUGUCGCUGAUGGAUGGACCCGCGGUGCAUUAGCUAGUUGGUGAGGUAACGGCUCAUCAAGGCCACGAUGCAUAGCCGACCUGAGAGGGUGAUCGGCCACACUGGGACUGAGACACGGCCCAGACUCCUACGGGAGGCAGCAGUAGGGAAUCUUCGGCAAUGGACGAAAGUCUGACCGAGCAACGCCGCGUGAGUGAAGAAGGUUUUCGGAUCGUAAAACUCUGUUGUUAGAGAAGAACAAGGACGUUAGUAACUGAACGUCCCCUGACGGUAUCUAACCAGAAAGCCACGGCUAACUACGUG
This 508-nucleotide ribosomal RNA is filed under the name uncultured bacterium. RNAcentral describes it as "partial 16S ribosomal RNA". It matches the Rfam family "Bacterial small subunit ribosomal RNA", at positions 28 to 507 of the family's 1533-position model. The record is from RNAcentral.